RNAcentral lists this ribosomal RNA (526 nucleotides) under Trigonopterus sp. 98 MB-2015. Its description in RNAcentral is "partial 16S ribosomal RNA". The record is from RNAcentral. Lineage: Eukaryota; Metazoa; Arthropoda; Insecta; Coleoptera; Curculionidae.
AAACCGACCUGGCUCACACCGGUUUAAACUCAGAUCAUGUAAAAUUUUAAAGGUCGAACAGACCUAAUAUAUUAGCUUCUACACCAACAAUUAAUUUUAAUCCAACAUCGAGGUCGCAAACUUUUCCUUCGAUAAGAACUCUAGAAAAAAUCACGCUGUUAUCCCUAAGGUAAUUUAAUCUUAUAAUCUAAACUCUUAGGAUCAUUCAAUCACAAAUUAGUGUAAAUAUUCAAAAAAAGUUUAAUUAAUUUUUCCAUCACCCCAACAAAAUACUUUUGCAAAUAUAAAAAUUUGUUCUAAGCCAUAAACUCCUUUAUUUACAAAAAUAUAAAACUCUAUAGGGUCUUCUCGUCUUCCAUUUCUAUUUAAGCUUUCUUACUUAAAAAUAAAAUUCUACUAAAAUUUUACAGAGACAGUCUUUUUCUCAUUUAACCUUUCAUACAAGCUUUCAAUUAAAAAACUAAUGAUUAUGCUACCUUUGCACAGUCAAAUUACUGCGGCCGUUAAAUCCCUCACUGGGCAGGUC